Molecule: ribosomal RNA, 496 nt
Filed under: uncultured bacterium
Lineage: Bacteria
Description: partial 16S ribosomal RNA
Rfam family: Bacterial small subunit ribosomal RNA
Source: RNAcentral
GAUGAACGCUGGCGGCGUGCCUAAUACAUGCAAGUCGAGCGAACGGACGAGAAGCUUGCUUCUCUGAUGUUAGCGGCGGACGGGUGAGUAACACGUGGAUAACCUACCUAUAAGACUGGGAUAACUUCGGGAAACCGGAGCUAAUACCGGAUAAUAUUUUGAACCGCAUGGUUCAAAAGUGAAAGACGGUCUUGCUGUCACUUAUAGAUGGAUCCGCGCUGCAUUAGCUAGUUGGUAAGGUAACGGCUUACCAAGGCAACGAUGCAUAGCCGACCUGAGAGGGUGAUCGGCCACACGGGAACUGAGACACGGUCCAGACUCCUACGGGAGGCAGCAGUGGGGAAUCUUCCGCAAUGGGCGAAAGCCUGACGGAGCAACGCCGCGUGAGUGAUGAAGGUCUUCGGAUCGUAAAACUCUGUUAUUAGGGAAGAACAUAUGUGUAAGUAACUGUGCACAUCUUGACGGUACCUAAUCAGAAAGCCACGGCUAACUACGU